AGCGUCUUAGAAUGAGUAAAACUGCAAAGAUUGGUUGCUAAAUGUUGUAAAAUGAAGAAAAUAUAGCCCUGUGAAGUUCGCAAAUUUUGCAUAUAUUUGUAUUACGUGCGGUAAAUUUUCGGCUAUAUUUUCGGCCUCAUUUUGCAACAAUUCGCCACCAAACUUUGCAAUUUUACUCAUUUUAAGUUGCUCUUUCCAGCUAUGGUAAUGGCUUUCGUUCUUGUCUAGAUCAAAAUUUCGUCUAAAGCUGGAGUCAUCAGUCCAUCUCUGUGUGAACGUAGACUCGAUCUCAAUAGACAAUACACAGUUCAUUUCAUUUAAACUUUAUUUAACGAGGCUCAGUAACGCAUAAUAGUUUUACAACUAAUAAACUUGUGGCCCUAAUGAUAUGUUAUGUAUACUUAUAAAAUAAUAAACAACAGUAAAACCUACAGAGUAUGCUAUGCGUGUACAUAUAUAAUAUAGUGUCUCAAGAUUAUCUAAAAAUGGAUUAAAAACCUUGUCGUUAAGUUGAUCGGUCGUACGUUUUCGGUAUAAUUCUUUCUUAAAAAUGUAUAUGGAACUACCGGUACGUAAUUUAACUAUAGGUAGUUCCAGCAUUUGGCUGUGCUUAUCGAAAAUGUACACCCUCUUUCUUUAAUUCUGUUAUAUCUCGGAGCACUGCGAAUCAACAGAUCCUUUAAUACGUAAUCUGGAGAGAUAUCAGCUGACCUUUUAUACGCCACGAGACAACGUUCAACAUCAUCAACACAAAAAGGUACCCAACCUAGAGUGCUGAACACGUCGAUACUGCUGUGUCGAGGAUGAGCAUUAAGAAUGACUCUGGCACAUCGAGUCCCAAUAGAGACAGCCUGACCUCGAAAGUAGUUAACCUUACACCACGGACAAAUACAGUAAACGCAGACCGCUCGGUAGUACAACUGGCUGACGGCAAAGACUGGCCCGUGCUCGAAACAGUUAAUACAACCCUGUUGCGUAUAGGACAUACAUAUAAGACUGUUCUAAGACCAUAAUUUCAGGCUAAUAUUGACAAUCGAUCAUUGAUAAUCUUGUUUGUAAUAUAUAACGUAUGGUAAAGUGUAUUACAAUAAUUCAGCCAUGAUAUAAUUCCUUGUACAUUUGCAUAUAAUGAAAAACAGGGCUUGUUUUAACAUAUCAGACCAAUACUCAUUAUAUACAUCACCUUAAUAUUUAUACAUGAACUUGUGGUUAAAGCUCAGCAACAGGACUUUGUAUAGCUCAGUGGGUUAGACGUAUUCAAGUGACGCCGAUACUCAUGGUUCAGCAAACUCCAUGAUUUUCUUAGACUUAGUGAUAGAUUAUAGCGUAAACGAAUGGUUGUUCAAGCAUCUCGUUGUUCAAGAAGAUCUUAUUGUUCUUCUCGCCGACAUUCCAGUCCCUUUAAACAGGCGUUUCGACUUUCAUUUAAGCAUGGUGACUUACUCCAGUACAUCAAAAUCAUCCCACCUUCCAUCCGUCUCUGCAAACCGGAUCAGAUAAACAGCCCCUUAUUGACGCCGAAUUCUUAAACUAGAGGCCUGGUAAAAAAUAACUGUUAUGUAACUAUUACAUAACUCUUUUGUUAGCUUGUGGAAAACAUCACGUUCCGUUUUUUUGGCAAAGCUUUCGAUCCAUAUAAGGGACUGGUCAUAAAGUAACUGCUAGGGUGGGCUGGAGGUAAAUCACAAAUUUUGCCAAUAAGUUUGGUGACCCAUCUUAGAAUGCAGAUAAAAAUUUCAAAGCCCAUCUAAUCUUACCAAAUUUAUUUC
This is a non-coding RNA of Paramuricea clavata, 1769 nucleotides long. NCBI's taxonomy places the organism in Eukaryota, Metazoa, Cnidaria, Anthozoa, Malacalcyonacea, Plexauridae. The record is from the annotation of a GenBank genome assembly.